UGAGGGCCGUGCCCUGACAGGGCCUGGCGGGCGUGAGGGGUCACGGCCCAGGUACCCCCGGACAGCGGGAUGGCCCCUCCGGUUUGCCUUCACCAGAACCACUUUUAGAAGUACAAGAGGAGUGAAGGAAAAAUGUUUUCAAACUUCUGUGAAAAGGUACGGACUCCUGCAAUUCUUCAUCUGCACCUUCAGCACAUUGUACCUCAGACUGCAAAAGAAAGUUUCUUCAAAGUUUCCUUUUUGUGCACUGAACUAGAUUUGUUUGUUUGUUCUGCAGCCAAAUGCAAAACCUUCUCCAGCCAGGGCAAGUUUAACUGAGGCUCAUCCUUCUGGACCUGCUGCCAUCUGGGACUCUGACAUUGUGCCCUGCUGUACAUGGGGAUAAGAGGUGAAACACAGGAGAUGUUGUUACACACUGGGUUUUCUUGGCAUCUGACAAUAACUGGGUAUUGCUUCAUCAGUUUGAGUUAAUCAGUGCAUCCUUCAGUCUCCAAUGGCCCAGGUCAUGCUGUGCAUGGUGGGAGUAUCCUCAGCUGCAGUGUGUGCCCCACAGCUUCCCUGCAGACUGCCUGUGGUACCCACCUAAAGACACUCCUGGUAAUGUUCAGUGAGCAGAGCAGGAAGCACCACUCUGUAAAUCCUGGGAGAGUAUGCAGAAAAGCCAGUGUCACCUGUCUUCUGGAUGAAGCUGCUGGGAUAUAGCUGAAUUUUGCUCAGUUUCUGAAUUUCUCGGAAUUCUUACGUGAAUAAAGAUAGUAAGAGUUACCCAA
Vidua macroura (Pin-tailed whydah) is the source of this 770-nucleotide long non-coding RNA. RefSeq lists it as uncharacterized. NCBI's taxonomy places the organism in Eukaryota, Metazoa, Chordata, Aves, Passeriformes, Viduidae. The transcript has 3 exons. The record is from RefSeq and is a predicted model, not a curated record.